AGUGAACGCUGGCGGUAGGCCUAACACAUGCAAGUCGAACGGCAGCACAGUAAGAGCUUGCUCUUACGGGUGGCGAGUGGCGGACGGGUGAGGAAUACAUCGGAAUCUACUUUUUCGUGGGGGAUAACGUAGGGAAACUUACGCUAAUACCGCAUACGACCUACGGGUGAAAGCAGGGGAUCUUCGGACCUUGCGCGAUUGAAUGGGCCGAUGUCGGAUUAGCUAGUUGGCGGGGUAAAGGCCCACCAAGGCGACGAUCCGUAGCUGGUCUGAGAGGAUGAUCAGACACACUGGAACUGAGACACGGUCCAGACUCCUACGGGAGGCAGCAGUGGGGAAUAUUGGACAAUGGGCGCAAGCCUGAUCCAGCCAUACCGCGUGGGUGAAGAAGGCCUUCGGGUUGUAAAGCCCUUUUGUUGGGAAAGAAAAGCAGCAGGUUAAUACCCCGCUGUUCUGACGGUACCCAAAGAAUAAGCACCGGCUAACUUCGUG
This 492-nucleotide ribosomal RNA is filed under the name uncultured bacterium. Its description in RNAcentral is "partial 16S ribosomal RNA". It matches the Rfam family "Bacterial small subunit ribosomal RNA", at positions 29 to 507 of the family's 1533-position model. The record is from RNAcentral.